UACAGAGGGUGCGAACGUUGUUCGGAAUUACUGGGCGUAAAGCGCGUGUAGGCGGCAGCGUAAGUCGGGCGUGAAAUCCCACGGCUCAACCGUGGAAGUGCACUCGAAACUGCGCAGCUAGAGUCCUGGAGAGGAAGGUGGAAUGCUUGGUGUAGAGGUGAAAUUCGUAGAUAUCAAGCGGAACACCGGUGGCGAAGGCGGCCUUCUGGACAGUGACUGACGCUGAGACGCGAAAGCGUGGGGAGCAAACAGG
Molecule: ribosomal RNA, 253 nt
Filed under: uncultured bacterium
Lineage: Bacteria
Description: partial 16S ribosomal RNA
Rfam family: Bacterial small subunit ribosomal RNA
Source: RNAcentral